RNAcentral lists this unclassified non-coding RNA (385 nucleotides) under soil metagenome. RNAcentral's name for it is "partial contains 5.8S ribosomal RNA, internal transcribed spacer 2, and large subunit ribosomal RNA". The stretch from base 1 to 120 matches the Rfam family "5.8S ribosomal RNA", at positions 35 to 154 of the family's 154-position model. The record is from RNAcentral.
GAUGAAGAACGUAGCGAAAUGCGAUAAGUAAUGUGAAUUGCAGAAUUCAGUGAAUCAUCGAAUCUUUGAACGCACAUUGCGCCCAUUAGUAUUCUAGUGGGCAUGCCUGUUCGAGCGUCAUUAAUUCCACUUAAGCCCUGCUUAGUGUUGGGAAUCUACUAGUGGUGCUACCCUGGAGCUACCCCUGAAAGGGGGCUGGCCCGGUAGCUACCCUGUAGUUCCUCAAAGAUAGUGCGCGGAGUUGCGUGGUCCUCUGAGCUUAGUAACUAUACACCUAGCUUUUGAGUGUCCCGCGGCGCCUGCCGUUUAAACCCCAUCUUUUAAUGGUUGACCUCGGAUCAGGUAGGAAUACCCGCUGAACUUAAGCAUAUCAAUAAGCGGAGGA